ACUCAAGAAGUCCAGGCAGGUCCCUCAGAAAUUUGUCCUAUUUUGAAAAAUGGUAACAAGGGGCCAAACGCUGGUUGCAGUGGUCAUGAUACUCAAGACAUGGUGUAUGGAUCUGUAACAUCAGAAUCAUCAGGACCUUGCUAGAGAUGUAGAACCCUCAGUGGUACUUGAGAUCUGCUCAGUCUGAGUACCCUUCUUCCCAACAUCCCAUACCCCUGUGUCACUGCAAUUUGCCAAUCUGCGGUGAGGGAUCCAGUGCCGCCACUGAAUAAAAACACCAGAUAACUACAAGAUGGCUGACCAAAAAGUGUAACCAUCUGUGAGUGUUCUCAACUUGGUCCUCUUACCAGCUCUUCUUCCUCUACAGUGCCUUGAACAUCAGCUUGGGUGGGACAGGCAAGUUCACUGUGCAGAUGGCACUGUUCCAGAACCCUACCUACACACAGCCCUACCAAGGUCCUUCUGUGAUGCUCUCCACUGAGGCUUUUCUGUAUGUGGGCACCAUGCUGGAUGGGGGUGACUUGUCCCGGUUUGUACUGCUAAUGACCAACUGCUUGGAACGAUCCAGUUUAGGGGAGAGGCAUGGUCAGAUUUUGGUUUCAGAAAGAUGACUUUGACUAUGCAGGGAAGCUUAUCUCAGCUUCCUUGGAAGUCACAUGCCUUACUUCUCAUGGAUCUUUCUGUUUCUCCCAAAGGUGUCCAGGCCUCAGUGUCCAAGGCUGCUUCCAGCAACUUGGGGUUCCUGAGCAUCUGGCUGCUGCUGUUUCUCUCAGCUACUUUGACCCUGAUGGUUCAUUGAUGGAAAACAGAAAACCUGGUGUGGCUCCCAGUUCACUUCCUGCUGGCCAGGAGUGGGGAUGCAGGCUGGUAAGCAGCCAGGAGAGAGGGAGCUCACACUGCCUCCAGCUUGCACUUACCCUUUUCCUUUAACCCUCACCAUCAAAACCGAGUUGAUAUCUUUCAAUGCUGCUGAUUCUUCAACUGGAACUUGUAAUGUGUCUGUACAUGAAGCCCCUGUCUCUUUAAGGAAUGUAUCAAAAUAAUAAGUUUAAA
Molecule: long non-coding RNA, 1053 nt
Filed under: Rattus norvegicus (Norway rat)
Lineage: Eukaryota; Metazoa; Chordata; Mammalia; Rodentia; Muridae
Description: long non-coding RNA NONRATT003100
Source: RNAcentral